Molecule: ribosomal RNA, 521 nt
Filed under: uncultured bacterium
Lineage: Bacteria
Description: bacterial SSU rRNA
Rfam family: Bacterial small subunit ribosomal RNA
Source: RNAcentral
CAGAACGAACGCUGGCGGCGUGGAUAAGACAUGCAAGUCGGACGCUUGUAUUUUGUAGCAAUAUGAGGAUACGGGAGUGGCGAAAGGGUGCGUAACACGUGGGUAAUUUGUCUGAGAGUUCAGGAUAAUUCGCUGAAAGGCGGAGUAAUACUGGAUGUGGAUAUUGGUUGGGAACAGCUGAUAUCUAAAGCCGGGGACCGCAAGGCCUGGUGCUCUUAGGUAAGCCCGCGACCUAUCAGCUAGUUGGUGAGGUAAGAGCCCACCAAGGCGGAGACGGGUAGCUGGUCUGAGAGGACGACCAGCCACACUGGAACUGAGACACGGUCCAGACACCUACGGGUGGCAGCAGUCGAGAAUUUUUCUCAAUGGGGGAAACCCUGAAGGAGCGACGCCGCGUGGGGGAUGAAAGGGCUUCGGCUCGUAAACCCCUGUCAUUUGUGAGCAAGUGUUAUUGUUUAAGAGAUGAUGACAUUGAUAGUAGCAAAAGAGGAAGGGACGGCUAACUCUGUGCCAGCCGCCGC